UACGAAGGUGGCGAGCGUUGCUCGGAAUGACUGGGCGUAAAGGGCGCGUAGGCGGACUGCACAGUCAGGCGUGAAAUUCCUGGGCUUAACCUGGGGACUGCGUCUGAGACGUGUGAUCUAGAGUGAGGAAGAGGGUCGUGGAAUUUCCAGUGUAGAGGUGAAAUUCGUAGAUAUUGGAAAGAACGCAGGUGGCGAAGGCGGCGACCUGGUCCUUGCCUGACGCUGAGGCGCGAAAGCGUGGGGAGCAAACAGG
Molecule: ribosomal RNA, 253 nt
Filed under: uncultured bacterium
Lineage: Bacteria
Description: partial 16S ribosomal RNA
Rfam family: Bacterial small subunit ribosomal RNA
Source: RNAcentral